Molecule: long non-coding RNA, 688 nt
Organism: Carlito syrichta (Philippine tarsier)
Lineage: Eukaryota; Metazoa; Chordata; Mammalia; Primates; Tarsiidae
Exons: 3
Source: RefSeq, a predicted model, not a curated record
GAGGCCUUUGGAAACGUCAGGUUCUUCCCCGCCCUAUGCCGGCUACUCUGCAAUUACAGAGGCCCAGCCCCCGGCCCUGGAGCUGGAGGUUGCUAUGAGCAUGGAUUCAGGGCCAUCCUGUGGGUCUCCCUGAAGACAGCAAAGGAAGAGCAAACGCCACCCCUGUUCGGUGGCCUGCAUUUGCAGGGUGGUCAGAUACAACUGGUCUCACUGUGCACCCAGCAACUUGAUGUGGGGUCGGUUUUCUGAGCCAAGGAACAAGGCUGCCAGCCGCUCCCCUGGCUCGUGCCAAUCACGAUGCCUGCUGCUCGGUGUGCCCCACACCCUCACAGGUGCCCUCAGCUGCCCCAGCGCAGCCUAGCCCAGUUCCAGCGGGCAUCAGGAUCUGAAGUUUCCAGGUCCCACCUCUUGGCAUGCCACCAGACCUGCCCUGCCAGGGAGCCAGGGACACUUGGGCACGAGCGACCCCUGGGGUCUGGGGGCAGGACUAGUGGCCUCAGGGGCUGGAACUCCUGUCCUUCGCCUCCUCCCCUCCUGCGUCUUGCCCUGUCUCUUUCCAGCUCCUUGACCUGAAGCGGGUUACUUAACCUCUUAGAAUCUCAGUUUUCCCAUCUAUAAAUGGGGCUACUAAUUCCUACCUUGUGCUGUUGUUGUGAGAAUCAAAUGAGAAGCUCCCUGUAAAAUGCUC